This 285-nucleotide ribosomal RNA is filed under the name Boophis elenae. RNAcentral's name for it is "partial 16S ribosomal RNA". It matches the Rfam family "Bacterial large subunit ribosomal RNA", at positions 2080 to 2512 of the family's 2925-position model. The record is from RNAcentral. Lineage: Eukaryota; Metazoa; Chordata; Amphibia; Anura; Mantellidae.
AAGCGGGGAUACAAAUAUAANACGAGAAGACCCCAUGGAGCUUUAAACCCAACAGCACCCGUUUAUUUUCAUCCUCACAUAAGUUAGGUUAUGCCUGUUUGGUUUUAGGUUGGGGUGACCACGGAGUAUAAAACAACCUCCAUGAAAAAAGGACCAAAAAUCCUUAUUAGAGAAAGACAUUUCUAAAAUUAAUAAAUUAAUUUUUAAUGAUCCGAUAUUCGAUCAACGAACCAAGUUACCCUGGGGAUAACAGCGCAAUCCACUUCAAGAGCUCCUAUCGACAAG